RNAcentral lists this ribosomal RNA (253 nucleotides) under uncultured bacterium. Its description in RNAcentral is "partial 16S ribosomal RNA". It matches the Rfam family "Bacterial small subunit ribosomal RNA", at positions 524 to 776 of the family's 1533-position model. The record is from RNAcentral.
UACGUAGGGAGCAAGCGUUGUCCGGAAUCAUUGGGCGUAAAGCGCGCGUAGGCGGCCCUGUAAGUCCGUUGUGAAAGUCAAAGGCUCAACCUUUGAAAGCCGAUGGAUACUGCAGGGCUAGAGUCCGGAAGAGGCGAGUGGAAUUCCUGGUGUAGCGGUGGAAUGCGCAGAUAUCAGGAGGAAGGCCGGUGGCGAAGGCGGCGCUCUGGAACAUUUCUGACGCUGAGGCUCGAAAGCGUGGGGAGCAAACAGG